This 761-nucleotide ribosomal RNA is filed under the name Meloidogyne paranaensis. Its description in RNAcentral is "eukaryotic LSU rRNA". It matches the Rfam family "Eukaryotic large subunit ribosomal RNA", at positions 344 to 964 of the family's 3401-position model. Lineage: Eukaryota; Metazoa; Nematoda; Chromadorea; Rhabditida; Meloidogynidae. The record is from RNAcentral.
ACAAGUACCGUGAGGGAAAGUUGCAAAGCACUUUGAAGAGAGAGUUAAAGAGGACGUGAAACCGGUAAGGUGGAAACGGAUAGAGUCGGCGUAUCAUUCAUGUAUUCAGUUACAUUAUUUUUAUGUUGUGACCUCUGAGCUCCAGAUUGGGACAGAGGGAAUCAGCAUAAUUUUUUGUGGUGCUUUUACUUGAUUGGUGCUUGGGGAUGUUUGAGGCAGAUUUGUUUCCGUCGUUUUGAGGCCAGCUUGCUGGUACCCAAACGGUGUUAGCAUUUUUUGUCUUGGGCAUUUGAGUAUGGCUCACGUGUAUUUAUUGGACAGAUCUGAGUGUAAGUUACGGUCGCAUGCGACACGUGCUUUUCAAUUAGUUCGGUCCAGUUAAUGCUCUCGUACUCGUUUCCCAUGUAAAAGCCGGUCAUCUAUCCGACCCGUCUUGAAACACGGACCAAGGAGUUUAUCGUGUGCGCAAGUUUUUGGGUGUUAAAAACUUAAAAGCGAAAUGAAAGUAAAUGACUCUUUAGAGUCUGAUGUGCGAUCUUGUAAAAAAGUGUAGCAUGGCCCCAUUCUAACUGUUUACAGUAGGGUGGCGGAAGAGCGUACGCGGUGAGACCCGAAAGAUGGUGAACUAUUCCUGAGCAGGACGAAGCCAGAGGAAACUCUGGGUGGAAGUCCGAAGCGGUUCUGACGUGCAAAUCGAUCGUCUGACUUGGGUAUAGGGGGCGAAAGACUAAUCGAACCAUCUAGUAGCUGGUUCCUUCCGA